Cuculus canorus (common cuckoo) is the source of this 953-nucleotide long non-coding RNA. RefSeq lists it as uncharacterized. NCBI's taxonomy places the organism in Eukaryota, Metazoa, Chordata, Aves, Cuculiformes, Cuculidae. The transcript is spliced from 4 exons. The record is from RefSeq and is a predicted model, not a curated record.
UGGCUUUCAUUAAAGCUGCCCUGAAAACUUGGCAAAACAAGUAAUGAGUGGUCAGGGUGAGAUGGGGGCUUAUUCUGCCAGGGGGAUUUGAAUGCUGGGAGAAAAGAGCCUAGUGGAGCUGGGAAACCUUUCAGCGUUGGGUGUGCUCCUGCAGGAGGCUCAGGUGUAGAUGAUGCACUGAUUUCUCAUCCUUCUUUCACUGAGAAUUUCAGCAUUAGUCAUAACACUGGGUUCAAGCCAACCAGGUGGCCCUUGAGCACAUCCCACCUUCAUCUGAGAGGAUGCAAACCAAUCCCCAGGGCAUUCAGACACCCAGCCCCAGCAGGGAGAGGCUGCCGGGGGUGAGUUUGUGCAAGCGCCACCCGUGGGUCCCUACGUGAGCCCGUGAGGGGCUGCCUGGCCGAGCAGCGGAUGUUGAAGUCGGUGAUUCAGAUGAUGACAGGAAACCAGAAACUGGCUAACGAGCCCUGGAGGAACCAGCUCCAGCCCUGGUGACUGCGGCGGUGAGAUGCAGGAGGAGACGGGACGGAUGGGGGAGAGCGUCUGAGGCUGCAGGCUGGAUGUGGCCGGGCCAUGGAGCUGCUGUGGGCGGCCGCCGCGCUGAUGCUGCUGGGGGCUGCCGUCAGCCUCUGCGUCAAGUGCCGGCUCUCCGCUCCUAAGCGAGAGAAGCAGCUGAGUGACCGGAGGAGCCAGUAAGUUGUCUUUCACCACUGCACUUCUUCCCCAAACUGCUCACGCAGGCUGAGACCCUGCCCAGAGCCAGACCCGCUCCAUGCCUCACAGCUGAAAUCUGGAUUUGUAUAGAAUAAGAUAAUCCCAGAUUGGGGUGUGCAGGGUGGUGUGCCCCCACCCAGGGCGCUGCUGAGGGGGUAACGCCUCUACAAAGAAUAAUCCAAAACCAAACUGAACCUCUGACUGUGAUGCCUGAUGGUAAAAGGUUGUGGAGAAGUGGA